Molecule: ribosomal RNA, 168 nt
Filed under: Staphylococcus aureus
Lineage: Bacteria; Bacillati; Bacillota; Bacilli; Caryophanales; Staphylococcaceae
Description: partial 16S ribosomal RNA
Rfam family: Bacterial small subunit ribosomal RNA
Source: RNAcentral
UUUUAUGGAGAGUUUGAUCCUGGCUCAGGAUGAACGCUGGCGGCGUGCCUAAUACAUGCAAGUCGAGCGAACGGACGAGAAGCUUGCUUCUCUGAUGUUAGCGGCGGACGGGUGAGUAACACGUGGAUAACCUACCUAUAAGACUGGGAUAACUUCGGGAAACCGGAG